Molecule: unclassified non-coding RNA, 245 nt
Filed under: Amphibambusa bambusicola
Lineage: Eukaryota; Fungi; Ascomycota; Sordariomycetes; Xylariales; Cainiaceae
Description: partial contains 5.8S ribosomal RNA, internal transcribed spacer 2, and large subunit ribosomal RNA
Source: RNAcentral
CGCACAUUGCGCUCCUCAGUAUUCUGGGGAGCAUGCCUGUUCGAGCGUCAUUUCAACCCUCAAGCCCUCGUCGCUUGGUGAUGGGGCCCGUCGUGGCGGGCCCUCAAACAUUUUGGCAGAGCUGGUCAGCAGUCUGAGCGUAGUAAAUCAACCUCGCUUCUGAAGGCUUCCGGUCCCUCGCCGUAAAAAACCCCCCAUACCAAUUGUUUGACCUCGGAUCAGGUAGGAAUACCCGCUGAACUUAA